UAAACUAGGAUUAGAUACCCUACUAUAAAGAACGUAGCUUAAUUACCAGAAGAUAAUUAUAAAUUUAAAGAGUCUGGCGGUGUUUUAGUCUCUUCAGAGGAACCUGUUCUGUAAUUGAUAGUCCACAAUAAUUUUUACUUUAUUUAUUAGUUUGUAUAUCGUCGUUAAUUGAAAAUUUUAUAAGAAAAUUAAUUUUCUUUAUAUUUAAUUAAAUCUAAAUUCAGAUCAAGGCGCAGCUUAUAAUAAAGAAGAAAUGGGUUACAAUAAAUUUAUUUAUUACGGAUAUAAAAAAUAAAUUUUUUUUAGAAGGCGGAUUUGGAAGUAAUUAUAAAUAAUUUUUUAUUAUGACUAGGGCUCUAAAACAUGCACAUAUCGCCCGUCGCUCCUGUUAUAAAAUUGGAUAAGUCGUAACAAAGUAGAUUUAUUGGAAAAUGAAUCUUGAUUCAAUCCAGAGCUUGAUAAAGCAAUUUAUUUACAUUAAAAAGAUUAUUGAAAUACAAUAUGGUUUGAAAUUAUUUUAUUUAUUUAUUUAUUUUUAUUUAAACUAAUUAAUUUUUUUAUUAUUUUUUAGAACUAAUUUUUAUUAUUAUAGUUUAUUUUUACAGUGAUGGAUUAAUUUUUUAAUAUUUAAAAGAAAAUUAUUUAUUGUACCUUGUGUAUCAGGGUUUAUUAAAAAUAAUUUUAUGAUGAAAUUUUCUCGAAAUUUUAUGAGCUAAGGAUUUAUUUAUUUUAAUGUUUCAUAAUUAUUUAUAAUAAAUCUUUUGGAGUGAUAUGUUAGUCGUAUAAAAUUAUAUCUAGUUUCUUAAGAAAUAAAUUUAAUUUAUUAUAACGUAAAAUUUUUUUAUUAAGAAAUUUUAUUUUUUCGUUAUUGUAAUAAUCUAAGGGAUAAGCUUUGGAUUAAAUAAUCAUAAUUUUUUUUUAUUUUAAUAGCUUGUAGGAUUAGAAUUUUUUAUCAAUUAAAGUAAGUUAUAUUUUUCUAUUAUUUAUAAAAAAUUUUUUGUUGUUUGAUUUUUUUAUUAAGAUUAUUUAAUUAUUUAUUAAUUAAAUGUAAUAAUGAUAGAAUUAGUAUAAAACUAUGAAUAAUAUUAAUUUUAAUUUAAGGAAUUCGGCAAAUUAUUUUCUGCCUGUUUAUUAAAAACAUGUCCUUUAGAAUUAAUUUAAGGUCCGGCCUGCCCAAUGAUUUUUGAAUGGCCGCGGUAUUUUAACCGUGCUAAGGUAGCAUAGUCAUUAGUUUUUUAAUUGAAAGCUAGAAUGAAUGGUUAGACAAGAAAAUAUCUGUCUCUGAUUAAUAAUUAAAAUUUUAUAUUUGAGUUAAAAAGCUUAAAUUUUUUUAAGGGACGAGAAGACCCUAUAGAAUUUUACUUUUUAAUUUAUUAGAUUAUGAAGAUUUUCUUUUACUAUUAUUUUAACUAGUUUUGUUGGGGUGACAAAAAAAUUUAAAUAACUUUUUUUAAAUAAUAUCAUUGAUUUAUGAUUAUAUGAUCCAAUUAUUUUGAUUAUAAGACUAAAUUACCUUAGGGAUAACAGCGUAAUUAACUUGAAGAGCUCAUAUCGAUAAGUUAGAUUGCGACCUCGAUGUUGGAUUAAAAUAAACUUUUAGCGCAAAAGUUAUAAAGUUAAGUCUGUUCGACUUUUAAAAUUUUACAUGAUCUGAGUUAAAACCGGAGA
RNAcentral lists this ribosomal RNA (1668 nucleotides) under Cacostomus sp. NLG-2014. RNAcentral's name for it is "partial 16S ribosomal RNA". Lineage: Eukaryota; Metazoa; Arthropoda; Insecta; Coleoptera; Lucanidae. The record is from RNAcentral.